Non-coding RNA from Candidatus Kaiserbacteria bacterium, 72 nucleotides. NCBI's taxonomy places the organism in Bacteria, Candidatus Kaiseribacteriota. The record is from Rfam.
GUCCCCGUCGUUCAAUGGAUAGGACGGCAGCUUGCGGAGCUGCUGAUGCAGGUUCGAUUCCUGCCGGGGGCA